CUGUCGCUGGCCUUUUGCCGGGGCAUGUGCACGCUCUCCUUGGAACCUUUGCCUUAUGGGCGCGGGGCGACCCGCGUCUUCAUAUACCUCUUCGUGUAGAAAGUCUUCGAAUGUUUAUAUUAUCAUCGAGCCGCGACUUCUAGGAGACGCGGUUCUUUGAGACAAAAGUUAUUACAACUUUCAGCAAUGGAUCUCUUGGCUCUCGCAUCGAUGAAGAACGCAGCGAAUCGCGAUAUGUAAUGUGAAUUGCAGAUCUACAGUGAAUCAUCGAAUCUUUGAACGCACCUUGCGCUCCUCGGUGUUCCGAGGAGCAUGCCUGUUUGAGCGUCAGUAAAUUCUCAACCCCUCUCGAUUAGCUUCGAAAGGGCGCUUGGAUAGUGGGGGCUGCCGGAGAUCUGGACUUUUCGUCUGGGACUCGGGCUCUCCUGAAAUGAAUGGGCUUGCGGUCGGCUUUCGACUAUGCAUGACAAGGCUUUUGGCGUGAUAAUGAUCGCCGCUCGCCGAAGUGCAUGAAUGAACGGUCCCGUGCCUCUAAUGCGUCGAUGCCUUCUGGCGUCUUCCUUAUUGACUUUUGACCUCAAAUCACGUAGGACUACCCGCUGAACUUAAGCAUAUCAUA
RNAcentral lists this ribosomal RNA (619 nucleotides) under Suillus grevillei. Its description in RNAcentral is "eukaryotic LSU rRNA". The stretch from base 176 to 330 matches the Rfam family "5.8S ribosomal RNA". Lineage: Eukaryota; Fungi; Basidiomycota; Agaricomycetes; Boletales; Suillaceae. The record is from RNAcentral.